This 3858-nucleotide long non-coding RNA is filed under the name Pelobates cultripes (western spadefoot toad). Lineage: Eukaryota; Metazoa; Chordata; Amphibia; Anura; Pelobatidae. The record is from RNAcentral.
GGGAAAUCCACUCACACCUUUCAGAACUAUAGUAGCCAUAAUAUUAGUCAAGAGAAACGCAAGGAAAAGGUAAAAUUUAGACAUUGAACUGUGUAAUCCUCAGUCAUUUUAUGAUUAAAGGACCACUAUAGGCACCCAGACCACUUCCGCUCAAUGAAGUGGUCUGGGUGCCAGGUCCAUCUAGGAUUAACCCUUUCUGCUGUAAACAUAGCAGUUUCAGAUGGAUAGAUCAUGCUAUUACCAAAAGCAAUGUCACCCCCAGAAGUAGUGGGAAUGUCUCCAGAAACAAUCACAUUCUCUCUUUUUUUUUCUGUUUUAUGAUUUGUCUUCUUCAUGGCUUGUAAUUGUCUUGUCUUUUUUAAAGGGACACUAUAGUCUGCUAUGUUUACAUUAGGGUUAAUCCCGCCUGUAGUGGCUGUCUCAUUGACAGCCGCUAGAGGCGCUUCCGCGCUUCUCACUGGGGUUUUCACAGUGAGAAGACGCUGCCGUCCAUAGGAAAGCAGUGAGAAUGCUUUCCUAUGAGACUGGCUGAAUGCGCUUGCGGCAGAAGGAGGAGGAGAUUCCCCACCGCUGAGGGAGCCUGGUUCUGGAAAAAGGUAAGAUUUUAACCCCUUCCUCACCCUUGAGCCCGGCGGGAGGGGGUCCUUGAAGGUGGGGGCACCCUCAGGGCUCUAUAGUGCCAGGAAAACGAGUAUGUUUUCCUGGCACUACAGUGAUCCUUUAAGGUCAAAAUCUCAGAUUCCCUUAGACAGGAAGGGAAAUAUGCUUUACAAGAAGCAUCAUGUAAAGAAAGUGGAUUUGGAUCUAUGUACAGAAGAAACCUUGGAGGUUUGUGAGUGUGACUCUGUCACUAAUUCCUGUGUUUCUAAGUUACAUUUGGUGCACUCAUAUAACAAACCUGCUGAUAAGAGAGCCAAAGACAGACAAAACACCAUGACCCAAUAAAAUAAUGGAAGAAGUAUUAUGGGCUCUCCUUGUCUUCCAUUAUUUUAUUGGGGUUUGGUUAUCCCAGAUAUUGUGACACAUGGAGGGAAGCCAUUGUUUAUUCCAGACAAGCUCUGCUAUCUGAGGGCAGCUGGAUGGAUCCUUUCAGAUCACGUGUCCACUACACCGACUUAGUAAGGUAAUGAGAAAUAAAUUAAACGUUGAAAACCUUCAUCCCAUUGUGCCUUCCUAAUAAAGUGGAAGGGAUACCAGAGGUGGACUCUAAAAUGGUCCAGUUCUUUUUAAAUAUAAAUCUAAACAAAAUAGGAGAGUGCAAAUCUUACAAAUAAAUAAAUAUGAAUAAAAAUGUGAGUAAAUUCAGCAGCUAUACACAUAUAAAGAUCCUUAAAAACUUUACACACAAUAUAUAAACAAAAUAAAGUGUCAGCGCUAUACUUGAAAACCUAAUGUAGGUGAUCACUCUCAAUCUGAAGUAAAACACUUAUAAAUGUGGUUUCCUGGACAUACUUCCAAGUGCAAUAAAACAAAAUACAAUAAAACAGACCACCAUAAGUGUAGUACUCAAAUAAUCAUAAAAAGUCUUGCUACAGGGUCCAAUAAAUAUUGGGUGAUGAUCUUUUACAGGGUUAAGAUUAGUCUUGCAGUUAUGUCACAGCAUCUGUAGAUACAUUGUUGCACUGUGGGCUUCUAACCUUGAAAUGAUACAAAAAGACCCAUCAUAGUAGUACUGCAAUUUAAUCAAGUUAACAUACAAAACCCUUACAUCAGCAAGUUGUGGUACUCGUUUCCAAGGUACCACCAUAUAAACUUUAAAAUACAGAGGCUUGGCAGCCGUUACCGUCCGUGCACACUUUUUAAAUACUCUAAACAAUAUGUUAAGAGCUUAGGAAGGGUCUGGAAUCUUCUUUGAGAGCGGGCCAAGAUUAACUUCUUUACAUGUUUAUUACUUAAUCCUAAAAUCUGUGAAGUAGUGGUAAGCAGAUGAUAGAUUAAUUAACAUUAUACAUCAGAUUUUUGGAGAUCUUGACUUGUUGUUUUGUGGUGAGACUUUUCAAGGACAGUGUGAUAAUUUGCACACUCUUGCACAUGGACAACAUGACUGCAAUGCGCUGUAUCAACAACCUCAGGGCACUUAAUCCAAGCCUUUGUGAACCUUAGUCAAGGAUUUCUGUUUGAGAUGGACCAGGCAGAAUAUUUCUCAGGGUAUAGCAAGGCGUAUUGGAAAUCUCUUUAUCUGUUGAUUGGCAUUUAAGUAAGAUUGUUUGAUGCCUUCCUUCAGUAUUGGGGAAAUUGCAUGUUUCUCCCAUUCGCCAUUGCUUGUCUCUCCUACAUGUCAGAUAACAGAAGAUGACCAUUGCCCUAGUUAACCUGUUUUGGAAAUCACAACUGUGGUUUAUAUAUAAGGGCUCAACAAAUCCCUGGUUGCCAUGGCAACUAAGAAUUCUGUCCUAGCACCUGGGUGGUUCUCAACACUGGCCACUUAGGGCCUCCCCACAAAGCUUGCGGCAAGGAAGAUAUCAUCUUCUUGCUCUGCUCCCUGGCACAUUCUGCUUUGAUGCCGUGACGUGACGUCCACUCCGGCCCUGGCAUUACUAAGCAGCAUGUGAGAGAGCAGAGCUAGAUAACAGGAUCAGGGCACUGGAACCAACGAAAAGAUUGCACUCCAGCUCUCAAACGUAGGGAAGCUAGGUUGAUUUAAAUUAAAAUAAUUUAAAAAAAAUAAUUUUUGAGACUGUGCGUGUAUCUGUCAGUGAGUGUGUCGGUUAGUUUGCCUAUUUAGGUGACCAGCCCCCCUCUGAUCAUAUAAGAAAGUUGUUUUAACUCACCGUUUUUCCCCACACGGCUCCGGUUUUGCCGCGGGUGGCCCUGCUUCCAUGGCUGAGAUAAUCAAUCUUGAUGGUCUCGGCCCAUCUGCAGGGACAAGCUAUAGACACCAGAACCACUACAUUGAGUAUCCCUUUAAGAAUUUAGGGACUAAGGAAGGUUCUCUCUUGUACAUUUGUUGGGAGUGUGAUUUAAUUAAACUUUUAUAGUUAAUGGUAUUUGAUAAGUUAAAAUUACUUAUCUAAUUGAAAUUAGAAAAGAGAGCUGGAAACAAUAAUAAUCAUACAUGUUUUAUUUAUUUUUUUGCUGCCAAAAAGAUGCUGAUAUCUGGAAAUUGGAGAUACUCUAGCCCAGUAACCUGGACACAUCUUUAAAAAAAAUCAAGUUUUAUAUUAACUCAAAAUAGAGAAUGGCUUUAGAUGGAUAGAUCAUGCUAUUACCAAAAGCAAUGUCACCCCCAGAAGUAGUGGGAAUGUCUCCAGAAACAAUCACAUUCUCUCUUUUUUUUCUGUUUUAUGAUUUGUCUUCUUCAUGGCUUGUAAUUGUCUUGUCUUUUUUAAAGGGACACUAUAGUCACCCAGACCACUUUACAUCUAAUGGGUUAAAACCUGGGGGACCUGGCACCCAGACCACUUCAUUGAGCUAAACAUAGCAGUUUCAUAGAAACUGCUAUGUUUACAUUGCAGGGUUAGUCCAGCCUCUAGUGGCUGUCUUCCUGACAUCCGCUAGAGGCGCUUCUGCGACGCUGGAUGCGAAAAUCGCAUUCAGCGUGCAGAACGUCCAUAGGAAAGCAUUGAGAAAUGCUUUCCUAUGGACUGUUUGAAUGCGCACACGGCUUUUGCCGUGUAUGCGCAUUCCGCUCCACUUGGGAGCUGACAUCGGCAGGGGAGGAGAGGUCACCAGCGCCGAGGGAGCCUGGCGCUGGAUUAAGGAAAGUGGCUGAAGAGGUUUUAAUCCCAGCUGGAGGGGGACCCUGAGGGUGGGGGAGACCUAAGGGUUAUAUAGUGUCAGGAAAACGAGUUUGUUUUCCUAAUACCAUAGUGAUCCUUUUAAGUUUAAUUGUAAUGUUUGUAAACUAAUGAUAUAUUG